CCUACGGGUGGCUGCAGUGAGGAAUAUUGGUCAAUGGACGAGAGUCUGAACCAGCCAAGUAGCGUGAAGGAUGACUGCCCUAUGGGUUGUAAACUUCUUUUAUAUGGGAAUAAAACGUUCCCCGUGUGGGAUUUUGUAUGUACCAUAUGAAUAAGGAUCGGCUAACUCCGUGCCAGCAGCUGCGGUAAUACGGAGGAUCCGAGCGUUAUCCGGAUUUAUUGGGUUUAAGGGAGCGGAGGUGGGUUGUUAAGUCAGUUGUGAAAGUUUGCGGCUCAACCGUAAAAUUGCAGUUGAAACUGGCAGUCUUGAGUACAGUAGAGGUGAGCGGAAUUCGUGGUGUAGCGGUGAAAUGCUUAGAUAUCACGAAGAACUCCGAUUGCGAAGGCAGUUCACUGGACUGCAACUGACACUGAGGCUCGAAAGUGUGGGUAUCAAACAGGAUUAGAUACCCUUGUAGUC
Molecule: ribosomal RNA, 459 nt
Filed under: uncultured bacterium
Lineage: Bacteria
Description: partial 16S ribosomal RNA
Rfam family: Bacterial small subunit ribosomal RNA
Source: RNAcentral